Cinara cedri is the source of this 1298-nucleotide non-coding RNA. Lineage: Eukaryota; Metazoa; Arthropoda; Insecta; Hemiptera; Aphididae. The record is from the annotation of a GenBank genome assembly.
CGAACUCGCUACGAUCAGAAUUCGAAAAAAAAAAUAAAUGUAAUUAUUUGCUUGAAAGCCGUAGUUAGAAAAAAUUCCAAUCAAUCAUAGUGUUGAAAUAUAAAUCGUGAUUUGCCUUUAAAAAUGUGUAAAAAAAAGAAUCGUAUUUAUUCAAAUAUCGUGGAAAAGUACACGUCUAUCGUGAUUAAUGGUUUGUCUGUCGCAAAUCGAAAUCUGCGUGACAAAAUUAUUAUUGAUCCAGAUACUACACGGAGUACUCGCAUCAUAAUAUCAACGUGUACUUAACGGCGAACAUUAUAUUUUGACUUUGACAUUUACAAGCACCCGCGGAGAUUACACGGACAAAAAUCAUUCGAAUCGGCUUUGCCUUCAGUCUACAGGUAUUCAAAAUAGCCGAUUGUUUUGGUAAUAUAAAUUUUCGACUAACGAGUAUUGAAAUGAAUUUUAAUUGCUUACUCGUUUGUCUAUGCUUCAUUUUACUGUCUAUAUUUCCAAAAAAUGUAAAUUCAGAAUGGGUUGUCCAAAGGGGUCCUCUCACUUGUGGAAAAGAUGCGAAAUUAUGUUUACAGCCUUCGGGUUGUUUUUGUUGUAAACCAAUGUGUUAUCCACUACCUCCAGUACCAUCAGCAUGUCCAACUGGCACAGAAUACUGCGUUGACAAUAAUCAAAAAUGUGCGUGUUGCAAAUCGAAUUGUAAAGAAUAAACGAAAUGGCAAACGGAUGGUAAACGUAUAAUAGUCCAAUAAUAAAUUAAUUCCGUGAAAAUAAAAAAAACCGCUCGGCCAACUGUUUGUCCGAAAUCCAAGAAUUUUUAGUGGAUUUACGUAAAUACAUUUUAAAUCUUCCCAAAAUCGAUUAGAACAUAAAUAAGAUGUUUUUUUUUUUUUUUUUUUCAUUGUUAAUUUCAUUUUUUUUCGCUUCAAUUUGAGAAAUUACACCUUUGACGUUUCGUUUAGCACAAAUGCAAUAAAUAAAUAAUAUAUAAUGUAUUGUUAUGUAUGUUUAUAAUAAUAAUAAACAUAUUAUGUCUUUUUUGUUUGCUCCAGUAAUAAUUUUUUUCCAAUUUAGAUUACUUAAGCAACCAAUAAUUGUUCAUAUUUUAUUAAAUUUACUCGCCGAAAAAUGUGUUGCACUCCCAAGCCAAUGUUUUUUGCAUUUAGUAAACAAGACAUGUAAGCACUUUAAAUAAUAAAUUGUUUUCACUAAUAUUGUUACACAUAUAUACCUAUGGACCUUUCCCAGAUAGCAUAUCCGUAAUGACAAUAUUAUAUUAAUAUCAAUUUUUCGUAAAAAAAAAA